GGGGAUGUUACGGAUUCGUCACGGUUUUAAAGGUAACAUAAGCAUGUCUUGGUGGUGCAAGUAAAAACACACGAGGUUCUAAAUAACCGGAAACCAAAAUUUACAAUUCGCUGCUUAAGAAAAAGUGCGAGCCAACUCUAAGUUUUCUUACGACCUAGACUACGGCCCAAUUUAGUAAGAUAUAUUUAGUUGUUGCCACCUUAAGCAACUAGAUGAAUUAAUAGGGUUAGUCUAAUAGAAAUAUGUCGUUCUAUGUCUAUUAGAUGAAUAUAACUGAGCGACUAAACAUGUAGAAAGUGUUACAGUUUAGGAUCUUGCACAGGGGUUCAAAUCCCCUCAUCUCCACCA
Molecule: non-coding RNA, 348 nt
Rfam family: transfer-messenger RNA
About the family: Bacterial tmRNA, also known as 10Sa RNA or SsrA, is named for its dual tRNA and mRNA-like properties. Its role is to liberate the mRNA from a stalled ribosome.
Source: Rfam